Molecule: ribosomal RNA, 214 nt
Filed under: Gordonia hongkongensis
Lineage: Bacteria; Bacillati; Actinomycetota; Actinomycetes; Mycobacteriales; Gordoniaceae
Description: partial 23S ribosomal RNA
Rfam family: Bacterial large subunit ribosomal RNA
Source: RNAcentral
UGUGCCAGUUGUCCCGCCAGGGGCACUGCUGGUUAGCUACGUUCGGAAGGGAUAACCGCUGAAAGCAUCUAAGCGGGAAGCCUGUUCCAAGAUGAGGUUUCUCACCCCCUUGCGGGGUUAAGGCCCCCCACAGACCAUGGGGUUGAUAGGCCAGAACUGUACGCACAGCAAUGUGUUCAGGUGACUGGUACUAAUCGGCCGAGGACUUACCAAC